Molecule: non-coding RNA, 79 nt
Filed under: unclassified sequences
Description: chrB RNA
Rfam family: chrB-a RNA
Source: RNAcentral
GUUAUGGGGAAGCGAUCUCCCCACGAGGCGACAGCCGAAGCGUCGCGUCCACCUCUCUCCGGAAGAGGACGCCCCGAUG